CCUACGGGAGGCAGCAGUGAGGAAUAUUGGUCAAUGGACGAGAGUCUGAACCAGCCAAGUAGCGUGAAGGAUGAAUGCCCUAUGGGUUGUAAACUUCUUUUAUAAAGGAAUAAAACGAGGCACGUGUGCCUUUUUGCAUGUACUUUAUGAAUAAGGAUCGGCUAACUCCGUGCCAGCAGCCGCGGUAAUACGGAGGAUGCGAGCGUUAUCCGGAUUUAUUGGGUUUAAAGGGAGCGUAGAUGGGUUGUUAAGUCAGUUGUGAAAGUUUGCGGCUCAACCGUAAAAUUGCAAUUGAUACUGGCAGUCUUGAGUACAGUUGAGGUAGGCGGAAUUCGUGGUGUAGCGGUGAAAUGCUUAGAUAUCACGAAGAACCCCGAUUGCGAAGGCAGCUUACGAAACUGUGACUGACAUUGAUGCACGAAAGUGUGGGUAUCAAACAGGAUUAGAUACCCCAGUAGUC
RNAcentral lists this ribosomal RNA (460 nucleotides) under uncultured bacterium. RNAcentral describes it as "partial 16S ribosomal RNA". It matches the Rfam family "Bacterial small subunit ribosomal RNA", at positions 338 to 795 of the family's 1533-position model. The record is from RNAcentral.